GGGGAAUAUUGCGCAAUGGGCGAAAGCCUGACGCAGCGACGCCGCGUGAGGGAUGAAGGUUUUCGGUCCGAAACCUCCUGCCGGAGGGGAGGAAACGGCACGUUGUUAUCCGCCGUUCCCUUAACGUAACCUCAAAGGGAGCCACGGCCUACCCCCGUGCCAGCAGCCGCGGUAAUACGGAGGGUGCAAGCGUUAAUCGGAAUUACUGGGCGUAAAGCGCACGUAGGCUGCUUUGUAAGUCAGGGGUGAAAUCCCACGGCUCAACCGUGGAACUGCCUUUGAUACUGCUUAGCUUGAAUCCGGGAGAGGGUGGCGGAAUUCCAGGUGUAGGAGUGAAAUCCGUAGAUAUCUGGAGGAACAUCAGUGGCGAAGGCGGCCACCUGGACCGGUAUUGACGCUGAGGUGCGAAAGCGUGGGGAGCAAACA
Molecule: ribosomal RNA, 426 nt
Filed under: uncultured Desulfovibrionaceae bacterium
Lineage: Bacteria; Pseudomonadati; Thermodesulfobacteriota; Desulfovibrionia; Desulfovibrionales; Desulfovibrionaceae
Description: bacterial SSU rRNA
Rfam family: Bacterial small subunit ribosomal RNA
Source: RNAcentral